GGCGGCGUGGAUAGGGCAUGCAGUCAAGGGGGUCGCAAGACAACCGGCAGACGAGAUAGUAAUAAGUAGGUACGAACCUCAAAGUCAGGAAUAGCUCAUCGAAAGGUGAGGUAAUACUUGAUAGUCCCGUAAGGGUAAAGAUUUAUCGCUUUGAGAUCGGCCUGCUCGGUAUCAGCUAGUUGGUAAGGUAAUGGCUUACCAAGGCAAUGACGCCUAGGGGGGGUGAGAGCCUGUUCCCCAUCGAUGGAACUGAGAUACGGUCCAUACACCUACGGGUGGCUGCAGUCGAGAAUAUUCGACAAUGGGCGAAAGCCUGAUCGAGCGACGCCGCGUGCAGGAUGAAGUGCUUCGGUAUGUAAACUGCUUUUGUGAACCAGAAAGUUUAUUGAUCGGUUCAAGAAUAAGAGGUUGCUAAACUCGUGCCAGCAGCAGCGGUAAUACGAGUGCCUCGAGCGUUAUCCGGAAUCAUUGGGCGUAAAGGGUGUGCAGGCGGUCUGAUUAGUCUUUUGUUAAAUUCUUCGGCUUAACCGGGGACACGCAAGGGAAACGGUCAGACCAGAGGAUGCGAGAGGUUAACGGGACUCAUAGUGUAGCGGUGAAAUGCGUUGAUAUUAUGGGGAACACCAAAUGCGAAGGCAGUUAACUGGAGCACUCCUGACGCUGAAACACGAAGGCGUGGGUAGCGAAUGGGAUUAGAUACCCCAGUAGUCCACGCCCUAAACGAUCUUCUCUAGGUUUUCGGAGUAUCGACCCUCCGGGAGCCACAGCUAACGCGUUAAGAGAAGCGCCUGGGUAGUACGACCGCAAGGUUAAAACUCAAAGGAAUAGACGGGGACUUGCACAAGCGGAGGAUCAUGUGGUUUAAUUCGAUAACAAACGAAGAACCUUACCAGGGUUAGAAAUGUAACUGAAGAAUAGAAGAAACUUUAUUCGUCCGCAAGGACAGUUGCACAGGUGAUGCAUGGCCGUCGUCAGUUCGUGGUUUGAAUUGUUCCCUUAAGUGGGGUAACGAACGCAACCCUCGUUGCCUGUUUUAAAUGUCAGGCGAGACUGCCCUCGAUUUUGGAUAUCAACUUAGUUGGUGUACAGAAUCGAGGGAGGAAGGCGAGGAUGACGCCAGGUCAGCAUGUCCCUUUGAUACCCUGGGCUACACACGUGAUACAAUGGCGCACUACAGAGCGACGCAAUACCGAAAGGUGGAGCAAAUCGUCUAAAAGUGGCCUAAGUUCGGAUUGAAGUCUGCAACUCGACUUCAUGAAGCUGGAUUCGCUAGUAAUCGCAGGUCAGCUAUACUGUGGUGAAUAUGUUCUCAAGUCUUGUACUCACCGCCCGUCAACUCAAGGGAAUUGGGGAUACCCGAAGUCUGUAUUAUACGGCCUACGUAAUCA
RNAcentral lists this ribosomal RNA (1388 nucleotides) under uncultured Parcubacteria group bacterium. Its description in RNAcentral is "bacterial SSU rRNA". It matches the Rfam family "Bacterial small subunit ribosomal RNA". The record is from RNAcentral.